This 460-nucleotide ribosomal RNA is filed under the name uncultured bacterium. RNAcentral describes it as "partial 16S ribosomal RNA". It matches the Rfam family "Bacterial small subunit ribosomal RNA", at positions 338 to 795 of the family's 1533-position model. The record is from RNAcentral.
CCUACGGGUGGCAGCAGUGAGGAAUAUUGGUCAAUGGACGAGAGUCUGAACCAGCCAAGUAGCGUGAAGGAUGACUGCCCUAUGGGUUGUAAACUUCUUUUAUAUGGGAAUAAAACGUUCCACGUGUGGGAUUUUGUAUGUACCAUAUGAAUAAGGAUCGGCUAACUCCGUGCCAGCAGCCGCGGUAAUACGGAGGAUCCGAGCGUUAUCCGGAUUUAUUGGGUUUAAAGGGAGCGUAGGUGGGUUGUUAAGUCAGUUGUGAAAGUUUGCGGCUCAACCGUAAAAUUGCAGUUGAAACUGGCAGUCUUGAGUACAGUAGAGGUGGGCGGAAUUCGUGGUGUAGCGGUGAAAUGCUUAGAUAUCACGAAGAACUCCGAUUGCGAAGGCAGUUCACUAGACUGCAACUGACACUGAGGCUCGAAAGUGUGGGUAUCAAACAGGAUUAGAUACCCGAGUAGUC